AUGCAGCUCUGGUAACUUCAAACUCAGUUUGGUUAUUUACUUCACAAAAAGUUUUCUUAAAAGUUUUCAUAAAAAUGAAAAACCUUUUUCUUGUUUUUGGGGAGUUGGUUUAUUUUGUGACAGAAGGGACAUUUCAAUAUUUUUCUUUUUAGAAGAUACAGUAGUUCUCUUUAUUUGCAUCAAAAUUUUAUGGUGGCGUAAAGUAAGGGCACAUGUACACUUGAUUAUUAGCCAAUUGUUAUUUUCGUUAAAUUCCCUCCUCAAAAUUAAUAUAAACAUCUGUCCCUAUACUGAGCCCCAAGAGGAAAUGACAUUAAAAAUGCAAUAAAUGUACUGUGUAAACUUCAGCCAUACAUCCACACUCACAUGUACAUGUCGAAUGUAAACACAAAUAUUUUUCAGUAUAUCAACUUAAUAGGUACAUUGUUUGCAGAACUUAUAUUAACAUUAAUGUACUCAUUCGCUAACCCCAACAGACUUUUUUUAACCCAUUCAGUUGUAACAGUAUGAACACAAACUACACAAGUUGUUGUACUCAAUGAGAACAGUCUAGUAAGUGCUCCCAAAUUCAUUGUACGUUUAAUAAGUGCACACAAAUUUUACAUUUACAGAUCCUCCUGUUAAUUGUUUUUUUUUUGGCAUAAUAUCUAACUGUGCUGGAGA
Patiria miniata (bat star) is the source of this 663-nucleotide long non-coding RNA. RefSeq lists it as uncharacterized. The transcript is spliced from 2 exons. The record is from RefSeq and is a predicted model, not a curated record. Lineage: Eukaryota; Metazoa; Echinodermata; Asteroidea; Valvatida; Asterinidae.